RNAcentral lists this ribosomal RNA (482 nucleotides) under uncultured bacterium. RNAcentral's name for it is "partial 16S ribosomal RNA". It matches the Rfam family "Bacterial small subunit ribosomal RNA", at positions 28 to 507 of the family's 1533-position model. The record is from RNAcentral.
GAUGAACGCUGGCGGCGUGCCUACACAUGCAGGUCGAACGAAGCUUGACGGAUGAUUUCUUCGGAAUGAAACCAGAUAUGACUUAGUGGCGGACGGGUGAGUAACACGUGAGCAACCUGCCUUUCAGAGGGGGAUAACGGCUGGAAACGGUCGCUAAUACCGCAUGAUGUGUUCGGAUGGCAUCAUCUGAACAUCAAAGAUUUAUCGCUGAAAGAUGGGCUCGCGUCUGAUUAGAUAGUUGGUGGGGUAACGGCCUACCAAGUCUACGAUCAGUAGCCGGACUGAGAGGUUGAACGGCCACAUUGGGACUGGGAUACGGCCCAGACUCCUACGGGGGGCAGCAGUGGGGAAUAGUGCACAAUGGGGGAAACCCUGAUGCAGCAACGCCGCGUGAAGGAUGACGGUUUUCGGAGUGUAAACUUCUUUUCUUAGUGACGAAGACAGUGACGGUAGCUAAGGAAUAAGCAUCGGCUAACUACGUG